Astatotilapia calliptera (eastern happy) is the source of this 1609-nucleotide long non-coding RNA. NCBI's taxonomy places the organism in Eukaryota, Metazoa, Chordata, Actinopteri, Cichliformes, Cichlidae. The record is from Ensembl.
GCGCACGUGCACCACGCGGGAGGCUCGUUUCCUUGAAAACUGCAGCGCUUCGAUCCAAAAGCGCAGAUCAGCGGCUCCUUCUAGUUUCGAAAUUUUGUUCCGUUUUGGUCGCGGAUCGCUUUGCUGACUCUUUGUCUGCGCGCUUCAGCUUUAACCUCAUCCCACCGUGCCAGACAAACUUCUCUUUCAUCUCCUCGCCUAUUUUUAUUUACUUUACAUUCAUUCGAUCGUAUAUGCGUAAUAAAAUCUACUUACUUUAACGCGUUAAGAGCCGAUUUCUUCUGCCUCUGACUGGGGCGUGGCAGCUCAGGGCUACAGGGUGCAGUGAAAACGUCUCCCGACCGGGAGGCUCCGGGGAGGGGAUCAGCCGCCAGUAACACUCAGAAACACUGAGCGGUGGAAACGACCUUUACGCACCGAUCAACUGAAGGUGUACCCGGGGGUCCGGGUGAAGAUCACGGUCAAGGAGUUGCUGCGGAGGCACAGAGAGAAGGAGGCCAACAACAAGAAGCUUAAUGCGCAGAUGCAUCAGGCUUGCUUGGAACUACAGGAGCUUCGCGCGUCCACUUUCCAAAGUGGCCAUGUGGCUCCUCCUCCCUCUGUCCCCCCAGCUGAAGCCAGCAGCUGCGGGUCGCUGGCCCUCCAGCUUCGAGCCACCAUCUCGUUUCCAGUCCCUGACAGCGCGUGCAACAUCCAGAUGCAGGAGUGCGGCAUCCAGGUGCAGCAGCAGCAGCAGUUUGGGGAUGUGAUGUUGCCCGGCAACGGAUACGGUGGUACCACCUACGACACCCCUCUGCCUCCUUUUCCAACCUCCCCUCAGCCUUGGUACCACGGACUGUCCUCAGAUGCGGACUACUACGGCCAGGGGAUGGCCCCUUGCUCCUCAUUGGAGUCACUGACUUUCUGCAACCCUGUGGAUCCCAACACUUAUUCCCCACAGGACUCCUUCUCUUCCUCCUCCUCCUCCUCAUGCUAUGACUCGCCCACCAGAAUGGAGUCAAGCUUCAGCCCACAGCAAUACCACUAUCAGCACUGUGGCCCCCAGGAAUAUUACAGCUUGCCACACUGUUGGUCAGGCCAGCAGGAGAGCCCCCCCACCCCAGAAUGCGCACCUUACUUUGCUCCCACAGACUAUCCCCAGGUGUAUCCUGUAGAAGACAGCUGUUUCCAGAAGGAUUUCCCGCUGAGCUCUGAGAUGUGCUACAAUGCUUUAUGAUGAGACCGUGAACAGUAUUACUUUGUAUCCUGACUGUAAAUACGAUUUGGCUCAGUGAGGUUGUUUGCUUUGCAUUUCACUUGGUCUGCUUUACUUUAAUCAAUUCAUUUGUAAUAAAAACUAAAUGAUAUAUUUUCAUACGCUAAUGUUUUGCUGCACAAAAUAAAAAUGUGUAAAAGUCAGCACUGUGCUUGUAAUGUGCGCUUGUCUAUUGCAGAGUUUCCACUGUAAAAGUCGGGAUGUUUGCUUCAGCCAGCAGGUUCAGACUUCACCCUGUGAACAUGCCCUGUAGCCACAGGUAACAAAUAAAAGUGAAAAAUGUGGGAAGAGUGUGAAAGUAAAUAUCACAGGCUGAUAACAUGUCAGGGCUGAACUCAGCUGUAACGCAACAAU